UUCAAAUCCAUUUUUUUUAUUUGAGGGGAGAAAAAUAUUAAAUUCAAUUUAAUUAGAGGUUCAACUUUCAUAACUUACUGAAAAAAAAAAAAACGAAAAAACCUAACUGGUUCAUAGCAACAAAAUUGUUAGAUGAAUAUAUAUAAAAUAUAGAUCAGCCGUAGAAUUGUUUUCAAUAAAUUAAAUUAUUAAUAAACUUAAAAGAUAUAUAGACUCCCUAAUUGAAUUGGAUGUGAUUUAAAUGUUAAUUAAUGGAAAAUCUUUUAUUUUUACUUAUUUUUUUUAAGAGAUGAUGAUCACCUGAAUUUGUGUGUUUCUGGCAUCAGCUGGAGUGUAGGUCGGGUAGCUGCAGAGAUAAAAAUAAAUUAAUGAAAUUGAUGAGUGCGCAUUCGUACAUAUAAAACUUUAGUUAUGUAUAGCUGUUUUUAUUGUAUAUUAAGAAAAAAAGAAAGAAAGAGAAAGGUAGAUAUUAUAUAUAACUCUACAAGUAUGUAGAUAUUAAACAAUGUAUACUGUAUAGUACAAAAUAAUUUAUGAAUUGGGAGUAAAUUUUUUUCAAUGAUAUUAUUGCUUUAUUUAUUUAUUUUUUGGAGCUCUGUUAUAUGUUGUGACAAUUUUGAUAAAAUUAGAUAUAGUUGGCCAUUUUAUUUCUUUCUAGAAAAUUUGAUCUUGAAAACUCCUUAUACAUAAAUUUUAUUAUUACUGUUACGCUAAAAAAAAUUAUCUUGUUAUGAUAUAUAUUUCAUUCGUUUGCAGAUAUUAUUGCUACUCCUAGCGAGCAUCCUAAAUGAUAUAUAGCGUUGUUGCAAGUUUGAAAUGGUUUCAUUAGAGAUUAAGAGUUGCAUUUCAUUUGGAGCCAACUUUUGAAGGCACUUUUGUUUUAAUUAUGGAGACUUUAUGAAUUAUUAUGAACUUAGAUUGUGUUAUGGACUUAAAUUAUGGACUUUUAUUUUGGAUUGUUAUGAACUUGUAUGGACUUUUUAAGGACCUUUUUCUAGAUUGUUAUGGAAUAGUACUAUGGAGUAUGGACUUUAUAAGAAUUGUUACGAAAUUUUCAUGGAUUA
Long non-coding RNA from Cannabis sativa, 1064 nucleotides. RefSeq lists it as uncharacterized. The transcript has 2 exons. The record is from RefSeq and is a predicted model, not a curated record. NCBI's taxonomy places the organism in Eukaryota, Viridiplantae, Streptophyta, Magnoliopsida, Rosales, Cannabaceae.